AACCAAGAAAUUUAGUCAUUCUUUUUCGGUAAAAAGACAGUUAGGCAAAACACACAUAUCGUUGGACCUUCAGUAUAGGGGUAAAAUCUAAAUACUGAAAGUUAUAUUAAGUACGAUUUAUUUUAGACGCUGAAUCUGUGAUAACUUUAAGGGAAACUGGGAUUGGAUACCCCAUUAUUUUUAGAAGUAAAUUUGAUUUAAGUUUACCAGAGUACUACGAAUAAAAAGUUUAAAACUCAAAGAGCUUGGCGGUGUUUUAGACCUCUCAGGGGAACCUGUCUCAUAAUCGACAAUCCACGUUAAACCCGACCCUUUAUAGCAAUUCAGCCUGUAUACCGUCGUCGUCAGGUAACUUCUUAAAACAUAGUAGUUAGCUCGAGAAUUCUAUUAAUUAGGACGUCAGAUCAAGGUGCAGCCAAUAAAAGGGAGAGGAUGGGUUACAAUUACAUAUUUGUAAUUACGAAAAGUACUUAGAACAAAGAGUUGAAGGAGGACUUGAAAGUAAUCUUGAUUAUAUAAACAGGAUGAAUAAGGCUCUGAAACGUG
This 546-nucleotide ribosomal RNA is filed under the name Conus fergusoni. Its description in RNAcentral is "partial 12S ribosomal RNA". Lineage: Eukaryota; Metazoa; Mollusca; Gastropoda; Neogastropoda; Conidae. The record is from RNAcentral.